This 85-nucleotide transfer RNA is filed under the name Candidatus Sigynarchaeota archaeon. RNAcentral's name for it is "tRNA-Leu". It matches the Rfam family "tRNA". Rfam says of the family: Transfer RNA (tRNA) molecules are approximately 80 nucleotides in length. The record is from RNAcentral. Lineage: Archaea; Promethearchaeati; Candidatus Sigynarchaeota.
GCAGGGGUGUCCGAGCAUGGUCAAAGGAGCUGGCCUGAGGCGCCAGUCUCAUAGGAGUGCGCGGGUUCAACUCCCGUCCCCUGCA